CGGGCUGUAGCGCAGCUUGGUAGCGCGCUUGACUGGGGGUCAAGAGGCCGCAGGUUCAAGUCCUGUCACCUCGACCA
RNAcentral lists this transfer RNA (77 nucleotides) under Bifidobacterium sp. RNAcentral's name for it is "tRNA-Pro". It matches the Rfam family "tRNA". From Rfam's summary of the family: Transfer RNA (tRNA) molecules are approximately 80 nucleotides in length. Their secondary structure includes four short double-helical elements and three loops (D, anti-codon, and T loops). Further hydrogen bonds mediate the characteristic L-shaped molecular structure. tRNAs have two regions of fundamental functional importance: the anti-codon, which is responsible for specific mRNA codon recognition, and the 3' end, to which the tRNAs corresponding amino acid is attached (by aminoacyl-tRNA synthetases). tRNAs cope with the degeneracy of the genetic code in two manners: having more than one tRNA (with a specific anti-codon) for a particular amino acid; and 'wobble' base-pairing, i.e. permitting non-standard base-pairing at the 3rd anti-codon position. Lineage: Bacteria; Bacillati; Actinomycetota; Actinomycetes; Bifidobacteriales; Bifidobacteriaceae. The record is from RNAcentral.